UCGGAUGUGGUGCACGGUGCACAUCAGCUUCUCUUAAUCAAAUGGUGAGGAUGCAAGCCGAAGACCGGGGUUCGACUCCCCGCAUCCAAA
This is a non-coding RNA of Mycena rebaudengoi, 90 nucleotides long. The record is from the annotation of a GenBank genome assembly. Lineage: Eukaryota; Fungi; Basidiomycota; Agaricomycetes; Agaricales; Mycenaceae.